Molecule: long non-coding RNA, 265 nt
Organism: Ochotona curzoniae (black-lipped pika)
Lineage: Eukaryota; Metazoa; Chordata; Mammalia; Lagomorpha; Ochotonidae
Exons: 3
Source: RefSeq, a predicted model, not a curated record
CAAUUUAUGAAGCCAGUGUAACUUCAGUUUCAAAACAUGACCAGGAAAUUCCGAGAGAGAAAUUUCAGGGCAACUUCAGUCAUGAACACAUCGACCAAGAUUCAUAAUAUUUCAGAAAUAAAAAUGUUUACAGCCUAGACUGUUAUUUCCCCAUUUCUGAUUGAAUUGGUAAUUGGAAAAACACCUUAAGCCAAGAAGACUUCUGUCCUUUGUCGAUGGAUACCUGGGAUCCUGUAUGGUCACUGGUUUGUGUCCCGGCUGGUCC